CAACUGGCCAAAUGGUUCACUGUUGAAGGGAUAGUUUAGAAAGUGAAAUGUCUAAAUUGUUCAAUUGAGCUUCACGCAUGAAGAGUAUUGGUAGACAGUCUUAGCUACAACCUCCUUAACUUGACAUUUUGACAUGUUAUGUUUGUGUGUGUGUGUGUGUGUGUGUGUGUUUGCUUGGAUACAGGAUUCCAGAGUCGAGCAAGUUCUAACAUCUAAGAAUCUUCCUGAUCUUCGAAGGGACCAAAUGUCAUAAUCUGGCUAUUCGUGGCACUGAACGGUUUCCAGGAAGGCCGGUUUGGACACAUGACUGACACUACAUGGAACUGUUCACCCAGAACUGGCCACCAGUGGAGAACUGGUGAAUGUAAUGGAGAGACAAACUGAUCUGUCUGUCAGUAUGAAUGUAAUGGAUGUUUGUUUAUAUACCUGUAUACUUGGUUGGUCUUUUAAAUCCGUUAUAUGUCUUGCUCAUUCUGCCUCAUUUUGGUUUCACUCAGUCUGUAUUCUGUAGACAAUUCCAUCCAUUGAGCAGUUUGGAGCCCUUGAUGAAGAGCUGCUCCUCAAACACAGGAAGAGGAUCCUACUCUAGGUGGGCGAAUGGUGGUGAAUAUGGUAGUUGUGUGAUUGUAUCAAUUCAAAAGAUGUUUGAUUGUAUGACUCUCUCUCUCUCUCUCAGAAUGGUGAACUUACUAAAUGACUGAGAGUUUGACUGUGUGAUAUUAGACUGCUUCUUGUGUAAAUAUUUUCUGUCUGGAUUUGAAUGAUUUGUGUGUCAGGCCGAUGAGAGGAUCAUGCAAGUGUCUGCUCCCCAGCAGAUCUUCAAGAACCCGAGGGCCAUCUCUACAGCUGUGGUGGAGAACGGCGGGGUGGUCUCCCCUCCGGCUCAAUGGGCUUCUAAAUGCCCUCUCUCCUCCUCCCUCUCUUCAACUGUCCCCCACCUCCCCUCUUUCCCUUUCCCUACCAUUCCGAAACUCUACCUCUCUGACCCACCCCUCCAUCUCUCCCACCCCUGCCCUUUGUCUUUUUAGUCAGUUAUAUUAUCCUCCAUAUAGCGCCAACUCCUGAACAUAACACCUGACUCCAUCCUGAGAAAUGUAUAUAUCUAUUAUGGACUGGUCAAUGCAAAGACGGUACUGAAUGUGUGUCUCGAAUCGGAAAUCCAAUGCUGGAACUCGACCGCACUGAAUGGUAUGGGAUUGAGGUUGGAGUUCUCAAAUGGACUAUGAAUGUUAAAGCGCUUAUGUACAGCGGCCUCGGAAAGUAUUCAGACCCCUUGACUUUUUCCACAUUUUGUUACGUUACAGCCUUAUUCUAAAAUGGAUUGAAUAAAACAUUUGUCAGAGCAAAAGCCAAGCCUCGCGGUCGAAGGAAUUGUCCGUAGAGCACCGAGACAGGAUUGUGUCGAGGCACAGAUCUGGGGAAGGGUACCAAAAAAAUGUAUGCAGCAUUGAAGGUCCCCAAGAACACAGUGGCCUCCAUCAUUCUUAAAUGGAAGAAGUUUGGAACCACCAAGACUCUUCCUAGAGCUGGCCGCCCGGCCAAACUGAGCAAUUGGGGGAGACGGGUCUUGGUCAGAGAGGUGAACAUUGAAUCUGAUGGUCACUCUGACAGAGCUCCAGAGUUCCUCUGUGGAGAUGGGAGAACCUUCCAGAAGGACAACCAUAUCUGCAGCACUCCACCAAUCAGGCUUUUAUGGUAGAGUGACCAGACGGAAGCCACUCUCCUCAGUAAAAUACACAUGACAGCCCUCUUGGAGUUUGCCAAAAGAUAUCUAAUAACUCUCAGACCAUGAGAAACAAGAUUCUCUGGUCUGAUAAAUCCAAGAUGGAACGCUUUGGCCUGAAUGCCAAGCGUCACGUCCGGAGGAAACCUGGCACAACCCCUACAGUGAAGCAUGGUAGUGGCAGCAUCAUGCUGUGGGGAUAUUUUUCAGUGGCAGGGGCUGGGAGACUACUCAGGAGACUACUCAGGAUCGAGGCAAAUAUGAACGGAGCAAAGUACAGAGAGAUCCUUGGUGAAAACCUGCUCCAGAGCCCUCAGGACUUCAGACUGGGGCAAAGGUUCACCUUCCAACAGGAGAAUGACCCUAAGCACAUAGCCAAGACAACUCAGGAGUGGCUUUGGGACAAGUCUUUGUGUGACCCAGCCAGAGUCCCGAUUGAACAUCUCUGGAGAGACCUGAAAAUAGCUGUGCAGUGACACUCCCCAUUCAACCUGACAGAGCUUGAGAGGAUCUGCAGAGAAGAAUGGGAGAAUCUCCCCAAAUACAGGUGUGCCAAGCUUGUAGCAUCAUACCCAAGAAGGCUCAACGCUGUAAUCGCUGCCAAAGGUGCUUCAACAAAGUACUGAGUAAAGGGUCUGAAUACUUAUGUCAAUAUAAUAUAUUUUUUUUAAAUUAUUAGCAAAAAAAAUCUAAAACCUGUUUUUUCGAGAAUUUAAAAAAAUAUAUUUUUAGAAUAGGGCUGUAACCUAAAAAAAUGUAGAAAAAGUCAAGGGGUCUUAAUACUUUCUGAAGGCACUUUAUGUAAUGUCGUCAUGAUUGUUCUAUAGUAUAUCUGAAUGUUCAACCUAGUAUAACACUGCAAGCUAGUAUGAUCAGUUCUCCUCUUUUAAUUUGAUUUGUACCAUGAAUGCAAUGAUAACAUUUUGCAUUCAGUAAGCUGAAUGAGAGACUAGGUAAAGGCUGAGUUGACAAGGUAAAAAUCUGUCGUCCUGCCCCAUGACCAAGGCAGUUAACCCACUGUUCCCCGGCCGCCGAAGACGUGGAUGUCAAUUAUGGCAGCCCCCGGCACCUCUCUGAUUCAGAGGGGUUGGGCUAAAUGCGGAAGACACAUUUCAGUUGAAUGCAUUCAGAUGUACAACUGACUAGAUAUCCCCCUUUUCCUAACCCUUCAAGCAUUCAUGCCCUUCCAUGUCAAUCUGUGGAUAUUGUAGAUUUGGUUUAGAUAUAUUAAUGCAUUGCUGGGCUUCUAGAGUGCCCUAAGAAAGUAGAUGUCUUUUCCCUCACCCAUCUACACACAAUACGCCAUAAUGACAAAGUGAAAACAAGGUUUAAGAUUUGUAUUUAUUGAAAAUGAAAUACACAAAUAUUGAAUUUACGUAAGUAUUCACACCCCUGAGACAAUACAUGUUAGAGUAAUCUUUGGCAGAGAUUACAGUUGUGAGUCUCUGGGUAAGUCUCUAAAAGCGUUGCACACCUGGAUUGUACAAUAUUUGCACAUUAUUAAAAUUCUUCAAGCUCUGUCAAGUUGGUUGUUGAUCAUUGCUAGACAGCCAUUUCAAGACGAUUUAAGUCAAGCUGUAAUUAGGCCAGUCAGGAACAUUCAAUGCCGUCUUGGUAAGAAACUCCAGUGUAUAUUUGGCCUUGGGUUUUAGGUUAUUGUUCUGCUGAAAGGUAAAUGUGUCUCCCAGUGUCUGUUGGAAAGCAGACUGAACUAGGUUUUCCCCCAGGAUUUUGUCUAUGCUUAGCUCUUUUCAGUGUUUUUUUUCAUCCUAAAAACUCCCUAGUCCUUGCAGAUGACAAGCAUACCCAUAACAUGAUGCAGCCACCACCAUGCUUGAAAAUAUGAAGAGUGGUGUUCAGUGAUGUUGGAUUUGCCCCAAACAUGACAUUUUGUAUUCAGGACAUAAAGUUAAUUUCUUUGCCACAUUUCUUGCAGUUUUACUUUAGUGCCUUAUUGCAAACAUGUCCUGGAAUAUUUGUUGUUCUUUACAGGCUUCCUUCUUCUCACUCUGUCAUUUAGGUUAGUAUUAUGGAGUAACUACAAUGGUGUUGAUCCAUUCUCAGUUUUCUACCAUCACAGCCAUUAAAAUGUGUAACUGUUUGAAAGUCA
This is a long non-coding RNA of Oncorhynchus nerka (sockeye salmon), 3833 nucleotides long. RefSeq lists it as uncharacterized. NCBI's taxonomy places the organism in Eukaryota, Metazoa, Chordata, Actinopteri, Salmoniformes, Salmonidae. The transcript has 2 exons. The record is from RefSeq and is a predicted model, not a curated record.